GGAUCUCUUGGUUCUGGCAUCGAUGAAGAACGCAGCGAAAUGCGAUAAGUAGUGUGAAUUGCAGAAUUCAGUGAAUCAUCGAAUCUUUGGACGCACAUUGCGCCCCUUGGUAUUCCAUGGGGCAUGCCUGUUCGAGCGUCAUUUGUACCCUCAAGCUAUGCUUGGUGUUGGGUGUUUGUCCUAUCCAUUGCGACUGGACUCGCCUUAAAGAUAUUGGCAGCCGGCAUUUUGGCCUUGGAGCGCAGCACAAUUUGCGAGUCCAAGCCGGAAUACUGACGUCCAGAUAAGCUUUUACCACGUCUGACCUCGGAUCAGGUAGGGAUACCCGCUGAACUUAAGCAUAUCAAUAAGCGGAGGA
This 358-nucleotide ribosomal RNA is filed under the name uncultured fungus. RNAcentral describes it as "eukaryotic LSU rRNA". The stretch from base 1 to 141 matches the Rfam family "5.8S ribosomal RNA". The record is from RNAcentral. Lineage: Eukaryota; Fungi.